AUGCUGGUGAAGCCUAGUGAUGCCAGCCCAGCCAGGAGGUCUUCUCCAGAGACUGGAAGUCAGCCAGGACUUUGGUUAUCUUGGCACAUGCGGGAGAGGGAAGAAAGACCUGUGUGUCGGGGGGUAUGAAGGGAAGAAUAGGAACCAAGCAUGGCCACCAUCAGCAGAAAACACCAACUCUGGGCAUGCAAUGAGGGAGACAAGGAAAGAUAUCCAUGGCGAGAGGACAGGCCCUUGUUAUUCAGUUCAUGCAAGAGGAUCUGCUGGGGAUGGAGAAGGCAAAACACACUCCACCUUCACCUUUCAUAACCUUAUCCACAGCAGCCUGUAACUCCAAGUCCUCUUCCAAAUACUCCUGCUAGUAGGUCUCCUAAGUGCAAAGAGGUUUCAAUCUUUCCCUGAAUAUUGCCUUCAUGACAAAGACUACAAGGAACUGCUGAAGAUUGUCAAAGAUGGGCUAGAACCUGCAACUCAUCCAGCAAAAGUGGUCAUUGUCGGUGCAGGAAUAAGCGGGCUUACAGCAGCAAAGUUGCUCCGAG
RNAcentral lists this long non-coding RNA (539 nucleotides) under Aquila chrysaetos chrysaetos. RNAcentral's name for it is "lncRNA (ENSACCG00020013944.1)". Lineage: Eukaryota; Metazoa; Chordata; Aves; Accipitriformes; Accipitridae. The record is from RNAcentral.